Molecule: ribosomal RNA, 430 nt
Filed under: uncultured bacterium
Lineage: Bacteria
Description: bacterial SSU rRNA
Rfam family: Bacterial small subunit ribosomal RNA
Source: RNAcentral
GUGGGGAAUAUUGCACAAUGGGCGCAAGCCUGAUGCAGCAACGCCGCGUGAGGGACGACGGCCUUCGGGUUGUAAACCUCUUUUAGCAGGGAAGAAGCGAAAGUGACGGUACCUGCAGAAAAAGCACCGGCUAACUACGUGCCAGCAGCCGCGGUAAUACGUAGGGUGCAAGCGUUAUCCGGAAUUAUUGGGCGUAAAGAGCUCGUAGGCGGUCUGUCGCGUCUGCUGUGAAAACUGGAGGCUCAACCUCCAGCCUGCAGUGGGUACGGGCAGACUAGAGUGCGGUAGGGGAGAUUGGAAUUCCUGGUGUAGCGGUGGAAUGCGCAGAUAUCAGGAGGAACACCGAUGGCGAAGGCAGAUCUCUGGGCCGUAACUGACGCUGAGGAGCGAAAGCGUGGGGAGCGAACAGGAUUAGAAACCCCAGUAGUCC